Molecule: small nucleolar RNA, 118 nt
Organism: Myotis lucifugus (little brown bat)
Lineage: Eukaryota; Metazoa; Chordata; Mammalia; Chiroptera; Vespertilionidae
Product: small nucleolar RNA SNORA1
Source: Ensembl
GGUCACAGAGGACUUUUGAAAAUUCCCUAACCAAUUUGUUAAUGUGGCUACAUUGAGACACAGGUUAUGCUUCCAUCACAGUAAUUUUAUUACAGUGGUGACGAGAUCUGUAACACUU